Molecule: long non-coding RNA, 224 nt
Filed under: Elaeis guineensis (African oil palm)
Lineage: Eukaryota; Viridiplantae; Streptophyta; Magnoliopsida; Arecales; Arecaceae
Description: long non-coding RNA (EGUI_LNC040574)
Source: RNAcentral
AUAUUAAAAAUAAGCAUAUAGCAUAUAUUAAUUAGAAAUUCAAUUCAAAAUAUACAGCACAAGUAAAAUAGGAUGCAUACGAAUUCAAUCUUUUCAAAAUUCAUUUCCAUUUAUAAAUCAAUUUUUUUUAAACAUCACAUUCAUCUUGAUAUUUAUGAACUAAAUUAAAGUACUACUGCAUAACUCCCAAUGGCAGGAUAUCAAAGUAUCAGCACACAGCCCUC